UACGGAGGAUGCGAGCGUUAUCCGGAUUUAUUGGGUUUAAAGGGUGCGUAGGCGGAUCGUUAAGUCAGUGGUCAAAUUGAGGGGCUCAACCCCUUCCCGCCAUUGAAACUGGCGAUCUUGAGUGGAAGAGAAGUAUGCGGAAUGCGUGGUAUAGCGGUGAAAUGCAUAGAUAUCACGCAGAACCCCGAUUGCGAAGGCAGCAUGCCGGCUUCCGACUGACGCUGAAGCACGAAAGCGUGGGGAUCGAACAGG
Molecule: ribosomal RNA, 252 nt
Filed under: uncultured bacterium
Lineage: Bacteria
Description: partial 16S ribosomal RNA
Rfam family: Bacterial small subunit ribosomal RNA
Source: RNAcentral